AAUGUUUUUUAUUGUAGUUAAUCUACAGGUGGUACCUGUAUAAUUAUCUUGUUAUAUCUGCAUAAAAUUUGAGCUCAAUGUUACUUUUUUGUUUCAGAUUCAAAGGUUUGUCGUUAAGUAAAGAGCAGUUCUCAGCAGCUGCCAAACUGAUCAAAUCAAGGAUGAUAAUGGAGGAAGGGGGAGAUUCAGGUCCAGCUGCACUGUCCCUUGGCUCUAAUAAAGAUCAGGAUGACAUCUUGCUGGAGAUGUUCUACAAAAUGGAGCCGCAACCCAAGAGACCGCGGACUGUUCACCAAGAAUUGAACGAUUAUUUUGACUCCCCAGUUGAGCCCUACCACUGCGAUCCUUGGAAAUGGUGGCAAGAAAACGCAGUACAAUACCCAGCUUUAGCAUCUGUCGCUCGAGACUUAUUUGUGGUUCAACCAUCUUCGGUGCAGUCCGAAAGAAUCGUGUCCUCCGUCAAUGCAGUGUUAACAGAUGAGCGGAGUAGGUUACUUUCAAUGCGGUUAGGAAAAAUAGUAUUCUUGAAAAGCCUUACUACAGACGCUUGGGAUGCCAUAAUCUACAAUCAAAUUUAAAUUUCAGCUGAGAAAA
This is a long non-coding RNA of Cloeon dipterum, 594 nucleotides long. RefSeq lists it as uncharacterized. The transcript is spliced from 2 exons. NCBI's taxonomy places the organism in Eukaryota, Metazoa, Arthropoda, Insecta, Ephemeroptera, Baetidae. The record is from RefSeq and is a predicted model, not a curated record.